RNAcentral lists this transfer RNA (76 nucleotides) under Paramuricea clavata. It matches the Rfam family "tRNA". Rfam says of the family: Transfer RNA (tRNA) molecules are approximately 80 nucleotides in length. Their secondary structure includes four short double-helical elements and three loops (D, anti-codon, and T loops). Further hydrogen bonds mediate the characteristic L-shaped molecular structure. tRNAs have two regions of fundamental functional importance: the anti-codon, which is responsible for specific mRNA codon recognition, and the 3' end, to which the tRNAs corresponding amino acid is attached (by aminoacyl-tRNA synthetases). tRNAs cope with the degeneracy of the genetic code in two manners: having more than one tRNA (with a specific anti-codon) for a particular amino acid; and 'wobble' base-pairing, i.e. permitting non-standard base-pairing at the 3rd anti-codon position. Lineage: Eukaryota; Metazoa; Cnidaria; Anthozoa; Malacalcyonacea; Plexauridae. The record is from Rfam by way of RNAcentral.
GCCUCUGUAGCUCAGUAGUUGGUUAGAGCGCUGCACCGGAAUCGCAGGGCCGUAGGUUCAAUUCCUACCAGAGGAC